Molecule: ribosomal RNA, 301 nt
Filed under: uncultured bacterium
Lineage: Bacteria
Description: partial 16S ribosomal RNA
Rfam family: Archaeal small subunit ribosomal RNA
Source: RNAcentral
CAGUAGCCGCGGGAAUACCAGCACCUCGAGUGGUCAGGAGGUUUAUUGGGCCUAAAGCAUCCGUAGCCGGUUGCAUAAGUUUUCGGUUAAAUCUAUGCGCUUAACGUAUAGGCCGCCGAAAAUACUGUGCAGCUAGGGAGUGGGAGAGGUACACGGUACUCGAUAGGAAGGGGUAAAAUCCUUUGAUCUAUUGACGACCACCUGUGGCGAAGGCGGUGUACCAGAACACGUUCGACGGUGAGGGAUGAAAGCUGGGGGAGCAAACCGGAUUAGAUACCCCCGUAGUCCCUGUCUCUUAUAC